AAUAUUGUUUGUUUUGUUUAAUGUUUAAGAUAAUGUAUAUAUAGAUUUUAAUUGUUAUAUCUAGGAUUUCACCCGUAGUAUAUCGUUUCGUAUUAUUAUCGAUCCAAACCCGUCAUACCAUCUAAUCCUGCACAGUGAAAUUAAACAUAUCUAAUGGAUUUCACUUGUCUUGUAAUACUAUCGACCAAACCCGUCCUACCACUACACCCGUUCGGUAAAAUUAGACAUUAUUUUGUUAUUUUUGUUUUAAUAAUACUUUAAUUUAAAAAAUAUUUAAUUCAAAUCAAUUUAAAAGUUUUAUUUUGAAUGGUUAUUUAAUUGUUGUAAAGUUUAUAUAUUAUAAUAUUAUAAACACGUCCUACCAUCUAGUCCUACUAUCUAAUCCUAUUCGGUAAAAU
RNAcentral lists this small RNA (398 nucleotides) under Arabidopsis thaliana (thale cress). RNAcentral's name for it is "ATSL081290". Lineage: Eukaryota; Viridiplantae; Streptophyta; Magnoliopsida; Brassicales; Brassicaceae. The record is from RNAcentral.